AUACGGAGGGUGCAAGCGUUGUCCGGAUUUAUUGGGUUUAAAGGGUGCGUAGGCGGCCCGUUAAGUCAGUGGUGAAAGGUAUCAGCUUAACUGAUGAAGUGCCAUUGAAACUGAAGGGCUUGAGUACAGACGAGGUAGGCGGAAUUUAUGGUGUAGCGGUGAAAUGCAUAGAUACCAUAAAGAACACCGAUAGCGAAGGCAGCUUACUAGAGUGAGACUGACGCUGAGGCACGAAAGCGUGGGGAGCGAACAGGAUUAGAUACCCCGGUAGUCC
This 274-nucleotide ribosomal RNA is filed under the name uncultured bacterium. Its description in RNAcentral is "partial 16S ribosomal RNA". It matches the Rfam family "Bacterial small subunit ribosomal RNA", at positions 523 to 796 of the family's 1533-position model. The record is from RNAcentral.